This 509-nucleotide ribosomal RNA is filed under the name uncultured bacterium. RNAcentral's name for it is "partial 16S ribosomal RNA". It matches the Rfam family "Bacterial small subunit ribosomal RNA", at positions 29 to 507 of the family's 1533-position model. The record is from RNAcentral.
ACGAACGCUGGCGGCGUGCUUAACACAUGCAAGUCGAACGAAGAGCGAUGGAAGCUUGCUUCUAUCAAUCUUAGUGGCGAACGGGUGAGUAACGCGUAAUCAACCUGCCCUUCAGAGGGGGACAACAGUUGGAAACGACUGCUAAUACCGCAUACGAUCCAAUCUCGGCAUCGAGGAUGGAUGAAAGGUGGCCUCUAUUUAUAAGCUAUCACUGAAGGAGGGGAUUGCGUCUGAUUAGCUAGUUGGAGGGGUAACGGCCCACCAAGGCGAUGAUCAGUAGCCGGUCUGAGAGGAUGAACGGCCCCAUUGGGACUGAGACACGGCCCAGACUCCUACGGGAGGCAGCAGUGGGGAAUCUUCCGCAAUGGACGAAAGUCUGACGGAGCAACGCCGCGUGAGUGAUGACGGCCUUCGGGUUGUAAAGCUCGGUUAAUCGGGACGAAAGGUCCUCUUGCGAAUAGUUAGAGGAAUUGACGGUACCGGAAGAGAAAGCCACGGCUAACUACGUG